RNAcentral lists this ribosomal RNA (303 nucleotides) under uncultured bacterium. Its description in RNAcentral is "partial 16S ribosomal RNA". It matches the Rfam family "Bacterial small subunit ribosomal RNA", at positions 507 to 809 of the family's 1533-position model. The record is from RNAcentral.
AGCAGUCGCCACGGGAAUACGUAGGUGGCAAGCGUUGUCCGGAAUUAUUGGGCGUAAAGGGCUCGCAGGCGGUUUCUUAAGUCUGAUGUGAAAGCCCCCGGCUCAACCGGGGAGGGUCAUUGGAAACUGGGAAACUUGAGUGCAGAAGAGGAGAGUGGAAUUCCACGUGUAGCGGUGAAAUGCGUAGAGAUGUGGAGGAACACCAGUGGCGAGGGCGACUCUCUGGUCUGUAACUGACGCUGAGGAGCGAAAGCGUGGGGAGCGAACAGGAUUAGAUACCCGUGUAGUCCCUGUCUCUUAUAA